Molecule: long non-coding RNA, 311 nt
Organism: Anguilla anguilla (European eel)
Lineage: Eukaryota; Metazoa; Chordata; Actinopteri; Anguilliformes; Anguillidae
Exons: 3
Source: RefSeq, a predicted model, not a curated record
UUUAAUUUUGUUUAAUAAAACAUCAAGAUACUGUUGUCAUAAUUUAUCAGUUGUAGCAUAGAUCAUAUAAGCUAGCCAGCUACAGGUUUAAUAGGAAAUUAAAACUGGCCAAUAAUGUAGCUGCACCACACCCACUGAUAGUAUAUUCAGUAUAACCCGCUGUGUUGGCAGGUGUGUUAUGCACUUCACACUGUGCACUGCUCGUCUCUGGUCCCGAAAAUACCAACACCAUGCACCAUGUUACACCAUAAUAGCAAAGUAAAACUGCACCACAACUACAGGAAAAGCUCAAUGCAACAAGAGACACACCA